Molecule: ribosomal RNA, 379 nt
Filed under: uncultured eukaryote
Lineage: Eukaryota
Description: SSU rRNA
Rfam family: Eukaryotic small subunit ribosomal RNA
Source: RNAcentral
AGCUCCGAUAGCGUAUAUUAAAGUUGUUGCAGUUAAAAAGCUCGUAGUUGGAUUUGUGGUUGGAGCAGUCAGUUCAACACACAGUGUUGGUACUUGAUUGCUCUGUCCAUCCUUGGGUGGAAUCUGUGUGGCAUUAAGUUGUCGUGCAGGGGAUGCCCAUCAUUUACUGUGAAAAAAUUAGAGUGUUCAAAGCAGGCUUAUGCCGUUGAAUAUAUUAGCAUGGAAUAAUGAGAUAGGACUUUGGUACUAUUUUGUCGGUUUGCGCACCAAGGUAAUGAUUAAUAGGGACAGUUGGGGGUAUUCGUAUUCCAUUGUCAGAGGUGAAAUUCUUGGAUUUCUGGAAGACGAACUACUGCGAAAGCAUUUACCAAGGAUGUUU